GAUAUGGCUCAGGACGAACGCUGGCGGCGUGCUUAACACAUGCAAGUCGAACGGGAUUUAGUAGACGGAAGCCUCGGUGGAAGAUUACUAAUGAGAGUGGCGAACGGGUGAGUAACGCGUGAGCAACCUGCCUAUGACAGUGGGAUAGCCUCGGGAAACCGGGAUUAAUACCGCAUAAAAUCGUAGAAACACAUGUUUCAACGGUCAAAGAUUUAUCGGUCAUAGAUGGGCUCGCGUCUGAUUAG
RNAcentral lists this ribosomal RNA (245 nucleotides) under uncultured bacterium. Its description in RNAcentral is "partial 16S ribosomal RNA". It matches the Rfam family "Bacterial small subunit ribosomal RNA", at positions 15 to 244 of the family's 1533-position model. The record is from RNAcentral.